This 774-nucleotide ribosomal RNA is filed under the name uncultured Neocallimastigales. RNAcentral's name for it is "partial large subunit ribosomal RNA". It matches the Rfam family "Eukaryotic large subunit ribosomal RNA", at positions 19 to 621 of the family's 3401-position model. The record is from RNAcentral. Lineage: Eukaryota; Fungi; Neocallimastigomycota; Neocallimastigomycetes; Neocallimastigales.
CGAGCACGCGCGUGUGGCAUAUCAAUAAGCGGAGGAAAAGAAACUAACAAGGAUUCCCUUAGUAACGGCGAGUGAAGCGGGAAGAGCUCAAAUUUGAAAUCUUCAAGGUUCUACCUUGACGAAUUGUAGUUUAUAGAAGUGUUUUCUGUUAGUGGAGUGGCAAAAGUUCUUUGGAAUAGGACAUCAUAGAGGGUGAGAAUCCCGUAUUUGGUCAUUCCUCCUAGCGUUGUGAUACACUUUCAACGAGUCGGAUUGUUUGGGAAUGCAGUCCAAAAUGGGUGGUAAAUUUCAUCUAAAGCUAAAUAUUGGCGAGAGACCGAUAGCGAACAAGUACCGUGAGGGAAAGAUGAAAAGAACUUUGAAAAGAGAGUUAAACAGUACGUGAAAUUGUCAAAAGGGAAGCGUUUGACACCAGUGUUGUUUUUCCGAAAAUCAAUUACGAAUGUUUUGUUUUUGAGGAGUUAUGACUUCAUCGGCUUGCUCCUUUCUUUAUGAAACUUUCUUAAUGCACUUUUCGGUUAACAAGUCAACAUCAAUUUCUUUUGUUGUAAAAGGGUAUGAGGAAGGUGGCUUUCUUUUCGGAGAAAGUGUUUAUAGCCUUGUGCCUCUGCAAUCGGAGAGAUUGAGGUCUGCAGCGUAGAUCCUUCGGGGUUAGAUACGUUUGUGCUAAGUUAUAGCUUUUCAUAGACAACUUGUUGACUAUGUUUAGUCUUGUAGCUUACUCGCUGACGCUAUUUUACCUACGCUUAGGAUGUUGAACUCUAUCACACACAG